Long non-coding RNA from Trifolium pratense (red clover), 1546 nucleotides. RefSeq lists it as uncharacterized. The record is from RefSeq and is a predicted model, not a curated record. The transcript is spliced from 6 exons. Lineage: Eukaryota; Viridiplantae; Streptophyta; Magnoliopsida; Fabales; Fabaceae.
ACAAACGGUCGGUGUGUUACAGGGAUUGUGAAAUAUGAGUGUGUUUGAUUUGAAUCUGUGCAUUUGUGAAAUAAGAAUAAAAAUUCAUUCUUUCUUUUUCUUCUUCAAGAAACAAGAAUCUAUUUUUCUCCCAUUUUCAUCUCACCAAAAAUUACACUUCCGAUUCUUCCAAAAUCUCUCGCAUUCUCAUCGAUUCUUCCAAAAUCACACUUCGAACUCACAAUCUCCGCCGAUUCUUCAAUGAUCGUUUGUGUGCAUCUUCCGUAUCCCGCAAUUCUUCAAUGAGAAAUUUUCAAGCCGAUUUCUGAAUCAAUUGAUUGCAGUAUCAAUUCUUGUUAAUUUCAUGUCUAUUAUAUGGUUCUGAACAUAUAUUUUUUGAUUCAAGUGAUUUUAGGGUUUUGAUUUCAAGGAGAUUUUAACUCUGUUUAGGGUUUUCAUUUUUCAUUUGAUGUUAUGUAUGUUUAGGAUUUGACGUUUCAGAUUUGCUUUUAAGUCGAUUUUCACUUUGCUUAGGGUUUUUCUUCAUCCCCAUCAAGUUUGAUUUAUGCAUGUUUUUAGUGACCUAAAUGAUUACUAUUGCAAUAUUUGACUUCUUUAUAUAUGAUUGUUAGUUGUUUUUAUAAACAAUUUUGUUGUGAUAGAUAAAAAAUUGUUGCCUACUACAUAUAAUGUUUGUAGUGCCGGAGGAAUUUGGUUUGUGAUUGAUUUUGGUGGGGCAUUGUGUGGUUUCUUUAGAUUAGGAUGAAUUCUAAAAUUUAUACAUGUGAUGUUCCAGGCUGAGGUUGAAGGCGAAAAAGAGAGCUAUGAUGUAAAAAUAGGGAUGAGGUAGAAAGCAAAAAAGAUAGAUACUCCAUGAUGCAAUAAUAGGAUCAGCAGGAGCUUAUGCAUAUCUUAGAUUGUUACAUGGAAAAAGUCUCAAAGUUGACUAUGACGCAAGGGAUGAGGUAGAAAGCAAAAAAGAUAGAUACUCCAUGAUGCAAUAAUAGUGGAAUUGUGUUUGCUAAAGCUGAACAGAGCUGGUGGUAUGAAGAGCAGGAUCGUCGGUUCUUUCUCCAGUAUGGAAAUAAUCUUAGACCUCCAGCUCUUCUUUUUCCAGGAUCAGCAGGAGCUUACGCAUAUCUCAGAUUGUUACAGGGAAAAUGUCUCAAAGUUGACUAUGAAGCAAGAGGAUAUGAGAAGAUUGGAUAAAAUAUAACUGAAGGUGCACCUGAUAUGGAUGAAGCUAUUGAUGUAAGUCUUAAUUGUUUCUUAUUUAUGGGUCUGAGUUAUAUAUAUGUAUGAAUGAAACAGUGGUGAAUGAAUAAUAAAGGAAACAUAGCUUUAUUUAAUAAUAAUGGUCAAAGGAUUACAAUAAGGCACGAAAAUAAAGGUAAAUAACAAACUGAUAAAGAUAUUAUAUCAGUCCCAAAAGCAUCAAAUGCUUCCCAAUUACUAGUCAGUGACCCUUCUUACAAUAACAGAAAAUAUUCCAUAUACUCUGCUCCUUCUCUUCCUUUCUUUAAAUAAAGGAAGCAUCACAUGAUUCAAGCCUCACGUGGCCACGUCA